UAUUGGCCCUAACGUGAGGCGCGAAGAGAUGACGUAAGAGUUAUUUUGGUUCUUCGACUCCGGUGCUUGGGAAAACUGCUUGCACUCCUUUGCGAAGAGUCGUUGAAAAGGUUGUACGACCGUAGUUGUGAAGAAAGGAACAGAGCGAAUUAAUCGAGAAAAUGCCUCCUCUUGAUACUGAUGUACUGGACUGUUGCAGUCCACCGAUCUACAGCAAACUUGCCGAAAUUAUUGACGGCUCAACAGAGUUCCGUAGGCACUUGGCCUUAGUUGUAAAGUAGGGGUUGUGUGACCACAUGGAAAAGAUCGAGGCCUGUUUGAAAAACCACAGAAGAAAAGUCCGUUAUAAAGUAAAUUCCUCAGUUAAAUGGAAAAUAAGAGAAAUUCUCACAGAAUGCAGAGGAAAAGGCCAAAGAAAUUAAGAGAAAAAAGAAAGAGAGAAAAAAAAAGAUGUAGAGGGCCUGUCCAGGAGAUACAAUCUACGCAUAAUAGAAAACAGAAGACAAAGCAAAUGAAGCAGAAACAAUAAUUACGCAACUAAUUGAAGAAAAUUUUCCGGAGUUAAAGAAUGAAGUAGACUUGAAAAUGAAGAAGUCUCACAGGAUACCUUUAAAUUUUAAUUAGAAGAAAGCAACACCUAGGCAUAUCUUAAAUUUUAAGCAUAAAGAAAAAAUCUUUCAAGUAUCCAGAGAAAGAGGUUACCUAUAAAGAGGCAAAAGUCAAA
Long non-coding RNA from Chinchilla lanigera (long-tailed chinchilla), 724 nucleotides. RefSeq lists it as uncharacterized. Lineage: Eukaryota; Metazoa; Chordata; Mammalia; Rodentia; Chinchillidae. The record is from RefSeq and is a predicted model, not a curated record. The transcript has 2 exons.